UAAGUGAUGGCGACCGGCGCACGGGUGAGUAACACGUAUCCAACCUGCCGAUAACUCGGGGAUAGCCUUUCGAAAGAAAGAUUAAUACCCGAUGGUAUAAUAAAGCCGCAUGGUUUAAUUAUUAAAGAAUUUCGGUUAUCGAUGGGGAUGCGUUCCAUUAGGCAGUUGGUGAGGUAACGGCUCACCAAACCUUCGAUGGAUAGGGGUUCUGAGAAGAAGGUCCCCCACAUUGGAACUGAGACACGGUCCAA
RNAcentral lists this ribosomal RNA (251 nucleotides) under uncultured bacterium. Its description in RNAcentral is "partial 16S ribosomal RNA". It matches the Rfam family "Bacterial small subunit ribosomal RNA", at positions 81 to 334 of the family's 1533-position model. The record is from RNAcentral.